GUAGGGAAUAUUGGGCAAUGGAGGCAACUCUGACCCAGCCAUGCCGCGUGCAGGAAGACGGUCCUCUGGAUUGUAAACUGCUUUUGAAUGGGAAGAAACGCACUUUUGCGAAAGUGUUUGACGGUACUAUUAGAAUAAGCACCGGCUAACUCCGUGCCAGCAGCCGCGGUAAUACGGAGGGUGCAAGCGUUAUCCGGAUUUAUUGGGUUUAAAGGGUGCGUAGGCGGCUUGAUAAGUCUGGGGUUAAAGGCGGCAGCUUAACUGUACGCAUGCCCUGGAAACUGUGAAGCUUGAGUGACUUGGAGGUAGCUAGAAUUCCCUGUGUAGCGGUGAAAUGCAUAGAUACGGGGAGGAAUACCGAUUGCGAAGGCAUGUUACUACGAGUAAACUGACGCUGAUGCACGAAAGCGUGGGGAUCAAACAGGAUUAGAAACCCGUGUAGUCC
Molecule: ribosomal RNA, 445 nt
Filed under: uncultured bacterium
Lineage: Bacteria
Description: bacterial SSU rRNA
Rfam family: Bacterial small subunit ribosomal RNA
Source: RNAcentral